GAUGAACGCUGGCGGCGUGCCUAAUACAUGCAAGUCGAGCGAACAGACGAGGAGCUUGCUCCUCUGACGUUAGCGGCGGACGGGUGAGUAACACGUGGAUAACCUACCUAUAAGACUGGGAUAACUUCGGGAAACCGGAGCUAAUACCGGAUAACAUGUUGAACCGCAUGGUUCAACAGUGAAAGACGGUCUUGCUGUCACUUAUAGAUGGAUCCGCGCCGCAUUAGCUAGUUGGUAAGGUAACGGCUUACCAAGGCAACGAUGCGUAGCCGACCUGAGAGGGUGAUCGGCCACACUGGAGCUGAGACACGGUCCAGACUCCUACGGGAGGCAGCAGUAGGGAAUCUUCCGCAAUGGGCGAAAGCCUGACGGAGCAACGCCGCGUGAGUGAAGAGGUCUUCGGAUCGUAAAACUCUGUUAUUAGGGAAGAACAAAUGUGUAAGUAACUAUGCACGUCUUGACGGUACCUAAUCAGAAAGCCACGGCUAACUACGUG
Molecule: ribosomal RNA, 496 nt
Filed under: uncultured bacterium
Lineage: Bacteria
Description: partial 16S ribosomal RNA
Rfam family: Bacterial small subunit ribosomal RNA
Source: RNAcentral